UUCCAGACUCCUACGGGGGGCAGCAGUGAGGAAUAUUGGUCAAUGGGCGUAAGCCUGAACCAGCCAAGUCGCGUGAGGGACGACGGCCCUACGGGUUGUAAACCUCUUUUGCCGGGGGACAAACGGCGGCACGCGUGCCGUCCUGAGGGUACCCGGAGAAAAAGCAUCGGCUAACUCCGUGCCAGCAGCCGCGGUAAUACGGAGGAUGCGAGCGUUAUCCGGAUUUAUUGGGUUUAAAGGGUGCGUAGGCGGGGUGUUAAGUCAGCGGUCAAAUGUCGGGGCUCAACCCCGGCCUGCCGUUGAAACUGGCAGUCUCGAGUUGGAGAGAAGUAUGCGGAAUGCGCGGUGUAGCGGUGAAAUGCAUAGAUAUCGCGCAGAACUCCGAUUGCGAAGGCAGCAUGCCGGCUCCACACUGACGCUGAGGCACGAAAGCGUGGGUAUCGAACAGGAUUAGAUACCCUAGUACAC
RNAcentral lists this ribosomal RNA (468 nucleotides) under uncultured bacterium. RNAcentral describes it as "bacterial SSU rRNA". It matches the Rfam family "Bacterial small subunit ribosomal RNA", at positions 329 to 795 of the family's 1533-position model. The record is from RNAcentral.